RNAcentral lists this ribosomal RNA (1467 nucleotides) under Phialophora verrucosa. RNAcentral describes it as "SSU rRNA". The stretch from base 165 to 1467 matches the Rfam family "Eukaryotic small subunit ribosomal RNA", at positions 1 to 1440 of the family's 1831-position model. Lineage: Eukaryota; Fungi; Ascomycota; Eurotiomycetes; Chaetothyriales; Herpotrichiellaceae. The record is from RNAcentral.
UUCCGAGGCGCCCGUCGUAGAGCACGGUAAGGUGUGGGUUACACAGCCAAUGUGUAGCUUAAGGGACGUGCCGAAUCCACCGGAGACGGUGGCCGUAUAAAGGUCUGGAGGUGCAAGUGUGCACCUUCUCGACAUUCUACCCGAGUGCCUCCAGCAUGAAGGGAUACGGGCUGAAAGACAAUGUACGCUCUGACGAGCCUGUCAACCGAUAAACCGCCAGUUCUUGGUGGGCUUUCAGCAACAAGGGUUCAGGGGGAUUACGUUAGGAGGACCGACCUCCAGUAACGUACUCUGAAUGAAGGCCCCGAAUUGGCCAGCAGCCGCGGUAAUUCCAGCUCCAAUAGCGUAUAUUAAAGUUGUUGCCGUUAAAAAGCUCGUAGUUGAACCUUGGACCUGGCUGAUCUGUCCUCCUAAUCGAGCGCACGGAUUCGGUCGGGUCUUUCUUCUGGGGAGCCCAUAUGCCCUUUCACUGGGUGUAGUGGGGAACCAGGACUUUUACCUUGAAAAAAUUAGAGUGUUCAAAGCAGGCCUUUGCUCGAAUACAUUAGCAUGGAAUAAUAGAAUAGGACAUCGGUUCUAUUUUGUUGGUUUCUAGGACCGCUGUAAUGAUUAAUAGGGAUAGUCGGGGGCGUCAGUAUUCAAUUGUCAGAGGUGAAAUUCUUGGAUUUAUUGAAGACUAACUACUGCGAAAGCAUUCGCCAAGGAUGUUUUCAUUAAUCAGUGAACGAAAGUUAGGGGAUCGAAGACGAUCAGAUACCGUCGUAGUCUUAACCAUAAACUAUGCCGACUAGGGAUCGGACGGUGGUUUUUUUAUGCCCCGUUCGGCACCUUACGAGAAAUCAAAGUUUUUGGGCUCGGGGGGGAGUAUGGUCGCAAGGCUGAAACUUAAAGAAAUUGACGGAAGGGCACCACCAGGCGUGGAGCCUGCGGCUUAAUUUGACUCAACACGGGGAAACUCACCAGGUCCAGACAUGCUUAGGAUUGACAGAUUGAUAGCUCUUUCUUGAUUGUAUGGGUGGUGGUGCAUGGCCGUUCUUAGUUGGUGGAGUGAUUUGUCUGCUUAAUUGCGAUAACGAACGAGACCUUGACCUGCUAAAUAGCCAGGUUGACUUUUGUCGGCCGCCGGCUUCUUAGAGGGACUUUUGGCUCAAGCCAAUGGAAGUACGAGGCAAUAACAGGUUAACCUUGGAGUUACAUCCAUCACAGGCCUGUCAGAGUGAACCUCGAUAAAUAUAUCACUAGUCAAGCAUUAUUCCUCUUGGUGGAAGUUCCGCCGACAGUCGGGAGAGGAGCAGCCGUGAAGCGGCUGUUAAUGCUGGCGAGACAACCUGGUUCAGGGGACGCUUCUCCAUACCUUUUCGGUGUGGAAUGCCAAUCCUGAGGCGAGCCAAAGUAGCGUUUGGCCGUUGCAACGCGCGCAAAGGUGUCGGCCCUACGCUCGAGAGAGCUGGGGUUUAAGGUACGUGC